CCCUUAGAUGUCCUGGGCCGCACGCGCGUUACACUGAUGCAUUCAACGAGCUUAUAACCUUGGCCGAGAGGCCUGGGCAAUCUUGUUAACGUGCAUCGUGAUAGGGAUAGAUUAUUGAAAUUAUUAAUCUUGAGCGAGGAAUUCCUAGUAAACGCAGAUCAUCAAUCUGCAUUGAUUACGUCCCUGCCCUUUGUACGCACCGCCCGUCGCACCUACCGAUUGGAUGGUCCGGUGAAGCCUCGGGAUUGUGGUUCUUGCCGCUUUAUUGUGGCGUGACCGCGAGAACUUGUCUAAACCUUAUCAUCUAGAGGAAGGUGAAGUCGUAACA
RNAcentral lists this ribosomal RNA (328 nucleotides) under uncultured eukaryote. RNAcentral describes it as "partial 18S ribosomal RNA". It matches the Rfam family "Eukaryotic small subunit ribosomal RNA", at positions 1470 to 1796 of the family's 1831-position model. The record is from RNAcentral.